UCGUAGGGAAUACUGGGUAAAUCUGGACCCUUCCUUGGUUACAAACUGGUCACCAAGGAAGGCCUAGGCCAAACCACCACAACAAGGAACUGGUGAGGAAAUGAACCCAAAGGCACUGUGCCAUCUCCAGGGCGGAUUCCUGCUAAGUGGUCUGUAUAGCACCACUGAUGUGCAAAAGAACAAGAAGUAAAAAUGCCAGAGUUCCUCCUCCUCUCAUUUUUCGUGGUAUAUGGACAGAACUGGUGGAAUGUGAGACUCAGGGGAUAAGAAAGAUGUGGCACUCGAUUCUGCUUUUUAAAGAGUAUCCUAAUUUUUCAGGUGACAUGGAAGUCGUCUUGACCUAGAGCUCUAGAACUGUGAACAAUCUUAUCUCUACUUAACCUGCAAAACCAUCAGAUAUUUCUGGGCAGAGAAUACAAAGCUACAUGGGCCAGCAACAUGACAAAUGGUAUAAUAUGUUAAUUAAAUCAGCAUAGUACAGUACCAUUGUGUUCCUGGGUAGCCUUUUUCAUUUUGAGCACCUCAA
Lepidothrix coronata (blue-crowned manakin) is the source of this 526-nucleotide long non-coding RNA. RefSeq lists it as uncharacterized. The record is from RefSeq and is a predicted model, not a curated record. NCBI's taxonomy places the organism in Eukaryota, Metazoa, Chordata, Aves, Passeriformes, Pipridae. The transcript has 4 exons.